Non-coding RNA from Triticum aestivum (bread wheat), 124 nucleotides. The record is from Rfam. Lineage: Eukaryota; Viridiplantae; Streptophyta; Magnoliopsida; Poales; Poaceae.
UUAAUACUCCCUCCGUCCGAAAAUACUUGUCGGAGGAAUGGAUGUAUCUAGACAUAUUUUUGUUGUAGUACAUCCAUUUUUAUGCAUUUCUCCGACAAGUAAUUUCGGACGGAGGGAGUACAUG